RNAcentral lists this ribosomal RNA (501 nucleotides) under uncultured bacterium. RNAcentral describes it as "bacterial SSU rRNA". It matches the Rfam family "Bacterial small subunit ribosomal RNA", at positions 19 to 518 of the family's 1533-position model. The record is from RNAcentral.
CUGGCUCAGGAUGAACGCUAGCUACAGGCUAACACAUGCAAGUCGAGGGGUAGCAGGGUAGCAAUACCGCUGACGACCGGCGCACGGGUGAGUAACACGUAUCCAACCUUCCCAUAACUCAGGGAUAGCCUUUCGAAAGAAAGAUUAAUACCUGAUAGUACUUUUUCAAGGCAUCUUGAGAAAGUUAAAGAUUUAUUGGUUAUGGAUGGGGAUGCGUUCCAUUAGAUAGUUGGUGAGGUAACGGCUCACCAAGUCUUCGAUGGAUAGGGGUUCUGAGAGGAAGGUCCCCCACAUUGGUACUGAGACACGGACCAAACUCCUACGGGAGGCAGCAGUGAGGAAUAUUGGUCAAUGGGCGAGAGCCUGAACCAGCCAAGUAGCGUGAAGGAUGAAGGUCUUAUGGAUUGUAAACUUCUUUUAUAGUAGAAUAAAGUGAUCCACGUGUGGAUUUUUGUAUGUAUACUAUGAAUAAGGAUCGGCUAACUCCGUGCCAGCCGCUGC